Molecule: ribosomal RNA, 447 nt
Filed under: uncultured bacterium
Lineage: Bacteria
Description: partial 16S ribosomal RNA
Rfam family: Bacterial small subunit ribosomal RNA
Source: RNAcentral
CCCAGACUCCUACGGGAGGCAGCAGUGGGGAAUAUUGCACAAUGGGGGAAACCCUGAUGCAGCAACGCCGCGUGAGUGAAGAAGUAUUUCGGUAUGUAAAGCUCUAUCAGCAGGGAAGAAAAUGACAGUACCUGACUAAGAAGCCCCGGCUAACUACGUGCCAGCAGCCGCGGUAAUACGUAGGGGGCAAGCGUUAUCCGGAUUUACUGGGUGUAAAGGGAGCGUAGACGGCUGUGCAAGUCAGAAGUGAAAGCCCGGGGCUCAACCGCGGGACUGCUUUUGAAACUGUGUAGCUGGAGUGCAGGAGAGGUAAGUGGAAUUCCUAGUGUAGCGGUGAAAUGCGUAGAUAUUAGGAGGAACACCGGUGGCGAAGGCGGCCUACUGGACUGUAACUGACGUUGAGGCUCGAAAGCGUGGGGAGCAAACAGGAUUAGAUACCCGCGUAGA